UGAGAGGCGGAGAGAGCGAGCACUGAGGGAGAAUGAAUGGGGGAAGCAGACUCUCCACUGAUCAGGGAGCCCAAUGCAGAGCUUGAUCCCAGGACUCUGAGGUCAUAACCUGAGCCAAAGGCAGACGCUUAACUGACUGAGCCACCCAGACGCCCCUGAGGUGAUAGUUUUUAUGUCAGAUUCUCCUAGGGUUUAUUGUUGUUUGUACCGUUUCUAAACUAAUUCUGUAAAGUCUGUAUUUUUGUCAUGUGCGGCCACUGAAGCCUUUGCUCAAUUAGUGGUCAGUAAAUGAUUGGACAGAAACUUCUUAAAUCCCUAGAACCAGUUAAGUCUGAUCUUUGUUGAGGAGCUCUGUGUGUGUGUGUGUGUGUGUGUGUGUGUGUGUGUGUAUGGACACUCAGCACUCUGCCAGGCAGCUUACUAGAGCCUUAGCGUUCGCUUUUUGAUUGCCCAGAACCUCAAGGUGAAUUAGAUGUGAGAACUUAGGGCCUUCCUCGAUCUUUCUUGAACAUGUGCACACAACUUUAAUACUUACAUAUGCCCUUCUAGAUUCCCAGGGAUAUGUCUGAGCUUUUCAAAGCCCCUAUGGGUAUCUUAUUCCUCAGCUUAUGCUUUUAAGCUUUUUGAUUUGUGUAUUGUUGGACCCAACUCUCAUCCAUCCUCUAAAGCAGCUGUGAUGCUAAAACAUUUGACAAACAGCCCCCAGGAUGAAGCUUUUAAAAGAGUUUGAGGUUCAAUAAAUGAGCCUUUCUGGUGGACUCUUCCCUAUCUGGGAAGCACCAGGCAGGUCAGAUAAUGACUUCUCUUUUGGAAUGAGGCUUUGAGAGAACUCCAUCCCUGUUCUGCUCACUCUGGUUACUAGUUGUUAGUGUGACUGAACCACUGUGAGUUCACUCCUUGGUGAGUCACAGAUAUACCAGGUGGAGUUGUCACACAGGUAAACAUUAUUUGCUGCAAGUGAGGAGAUCACAGGGAAUAACUUGCAAAGCUGUGAUUCCCUGAGCAAGUGUGGUUGGGUUCCUUUUAUUUA
Long non-coding RNA from Mustela erminea (ermine), 1030 nucleotides. RefSeq lists it as uncharacterized. NCBI's taxonomy places the organism in Eukaryota, Metazoa, Chordata, Mammalia, Carnivora, Mustelidae. The record is from RefSeq and is a predicted model, not a curated record. The transcript is spliced from 3 exons.